GGACCGGGAAAGCUCGAAAACGGACAUGUGGCACAUGGUUGUCGAUUAGAUCCGACGGUCAGCAAUUGAGAACGGACCUAAAAAUGGACGCUGGUAGGAGGCCGUUCCCAAUUUCUCGUCGCAGUUUCGAGUCCUCGGCUCUUUCGCUGUGGUUUUCUUCGAGAAGGCAAACGCGAAGCGAUUCCAAGUCUUGCUUAUUGUGUACAUUUGAAGUUGUUCUAUGCCCUAGCAUGUCCAGAUUGCUUAUUCAAUAGAUGCAGAUUUUUGUCAAGACCCUCACCAGCAAAACCAUAACCCUCGAAGUUGAAAGUUCCGACACAAUUGAUAAUGUCAAGGCUAAUAUCCAAGACAAGGAGGGCAUCCCUCCUGACCAGCUGCAUCUCAUCUUUGCUGGGAAGUAGCUGGAAGAUGGUCGCACCCUUGCUGACUAUAUAACAUCGAGUCCACUGGAAAGACAAUCACUCUUGAGGUUGAGAGCUUGGACACGAUCGACAAUGUGAAAGCCAAGAUUCAGGACAAGGAGGGGAUCCCACCUGAUCAGCAACAUCUCAUAUUUUCUGGGAAGCAGCUCGAGGAUAGGCAUACACUAGCAGAUUACAACAUUCAAAAGGAAUCGACCCUUUACCUUGUCUUGCAUCUCCGUGGUGGUGAUCUAUGAAUCACUAUCUGAUAGUCGUAGUGGUACUAGUCUGUUUUUGUGGACAACCCUGCUUUGAUAGAUGGGAACCUCAUAGAGUCCUUGGUCAUGAAUAUGGAUAUUCUUCAGUAUGACGAUUUGCAUUAUGCUUUGAAACUGUUCAAAGAAGACUUCAAUAAAGAGGAUUGAUUUUGUGAACUGAUGCAGCAGUUGAAUGAAGUAGUAUGCAAGUCAUUCUAUUAUAA
RNA transcript from Phoenix dactylifera (date palm), 882 nucleotides. It is a transcript of the gene named polyubiquitin pseudogene, with no coding region annotated. NCBI's taxonomy places the organism in Eukaryota, Viridiplantae, Streptophyta, Magnoliopsida, Arecales, Arecaceae. The record is from RefSeq and is a predicted model, not a curated record.